UUGACGUCGUCCUUUUGGCUUUGCUAUUGCUUCCCAGUUCCCACUGCUGCUGUUCAUUUUCCUCAUCCUACUCUCAUAGCUUCGCUCAGAUUGUUGCGUCACUGGCAUCAUGGUUUCCUACAGAUGGCAUAGGUGUGACGUCGUUUCCUUGGCAUCAUCAAAGGUUUUGUGCUUACACAUUGGCAAUACUUCCGUCAUCACGCCGCCGCUGGCUUUGGCUUUCUUCCUCCACAAUUGCAUAUUCUCCUCGAUUGCUGGCCUAUGGAUUCCUUCUCUGGCCAGGUAGAUUGUGACGUUUUUUCCGACAGAUGCUAGCAAGGAUUCGUGAAGAAAGGGUUUGGUCUGUAUAUGCAAUCAGCAAUUGCGUUGGUUGAUACUCCCCAAGGCUCUUGUCAUCUUCCCUCAUGCUGCCAUUAACAGCUGUUUAGUUUGCUUUACAGAUGGAUUCGGACUCCAAUUUUAAGUUCAAUUCAACUUAUUUUGAAGGCAGACUCCUACUAUCCUGAAACAAGAACCCUAAACCUCUGUGUCCACAGCUUCUGGAUUGUUCUAACUCUAGAAUUUCGUUGUAGAUAUUCUUAUUCCAAAUUUCAAUUGCAAGCUGGUAUGAUAUCUCCUUGCUGUGAUUUAUUCAAUUGGUCUAUUACUGUGAUGAUUUGUUUAGGUGCCCUGUUUUCAUCCUUUUACUUCAAUCCGGUGUUAUCUUUUCUUGCACAAAAUUCUGAAUUGAAUCUCCAGUAACUUCUGUUUGUGUACUUCUUUUAUAUUGCUGUCCUUUUGUCCAUCAUCUGAUCUUAGUCCUUUGUUUUAAUAUGUUAUAGUCACCCCUUUCUUCGUCUAAUGUUUGAACCUGUUUAUUUUCUGUAUACCAAUCACAAAUUUAUUAGUUUAUUUCAAUUAUCUAUGUAUUGAACUUUGAUGCAUUAGCUUGACAUCAUUCCUUGUAUUAGUAGUUUAAAGUGUAGCAAUUUUUUGAUUUAUAGGGACUGAAAAUUGCUGUACCUUUCUUCUGAGUAUCCCUUAGUUACAAGUUAAUCAAAAUAUAUGGGAUAUCUUGAUUGGGACUGGGAACUUCUGUACUUAUUAUUUAUAGUAUGUAUCUCCAUGUAGUUAGUGCUUGAAUGUUGAAUAAAUAUGAAUAUUCUAACCCAUGUACAAGCACGAGUUUCAUUUACGAAUCAUCCUUUUCAUAUCCAUUUUCUGGGGUAAAGCUGCACGGAGAAGCUCCAUCCUAACCAUCAAUCUGGUUUGGGUGCUCUAGGAGCUAUACCCUAAACUGGAACGCAAGCUUUAACAUCUGCUUUACAGGCUGUUUGAUCUACUACUAGAUUAAAAAAAUUCCAGCUACUGAAGGUGCUUUCCAGUUGUUUGAUAAGCUUCAAGAUCUUGCUCGAUUCCCUAUGGUUAUUUGCUUUUUCUGGUAUCUUCAUCCUUAUGCAGUGAUGAUCAAGUGGGUGAUUCAAAUGCUUGGGAAGAGAGCAUUGGGAUAUAUACUGAUUCUGAAGAUGCCAAUAUUCCAUCUGUUCUGAAUUAUGAGGGAACUGUCAUUGGGGUACUCCUCUCAUCAAGCUAUUUAAAGCAACUGAAGAUUCAUACUUCUAACUAUUGCAAACCUACUGCCUUAUUAACUGAGAAUGCGUUGAGAUAUGUUUUUUGCUUCAUCACUCUUUUGAACUAAAUACGAAUGAAGCUUCCAUAUCCAAUCAACUUAUAAGAUUAAAGAAGCUAUGAAAGGUGAAAGAACAAUCCCUACUCCAUCAGAGAGAGCCUACAGAAAAUUAGAGCACUGCAAGGGUAUGAGGCUUCAAAGGUCCACAAGUGCCUCCCGGUAUGAUGCAUAUGAUGCAUCUCUGCCAUAAUAUUAAGUGUUUGAAUUUAAACUUGAUGAUUGGUCUAUCUUGACUUGAUGGUUUGGUCUAUGUAUUGUCUUUUGAUAAGUCACCUUUGAAUUUCUGGGUUUCCUAUAGUCUGUUGAAAAAUAUUUAGAAUAGCUACCCGAGUGUAGAAGUAGAACAAGUUCUAAAACAUCUAUCUCCGUUGUGAGUGAACAUCUAUCUCACCGGCCUCCUUCAAUUGACAUUAUCUUAACAAAUGGCCUUACACAAGAAUGACAUUUGAUUUGGGAUUGCAAGAGGGUAUGUCAAUGCAUGAUUGUCGUUGGAUGGUAUCAAUUUUACAGAGCCAAACACUUUCAUCUGACAGAUCAGCUGCAGUUCUUUAAACGUUCAGUUAUCACACCCCUUAUGUUUUUGCAUCUAUUUCUAUUUGAUGCAUAUUUUAAUAUCAUUUUUGGCAUUAUUCUUA
This is a long non-coding RNA of Lotus japonicus, 2304 nucleotides long. RefSeq lists it as uncharacterized. The transcript is spliced from 6 exons. The record is from RefSeq and is a predicted model, not a curated record. NCBI's taxonomy places the organism in Eukaryota, Viridiplantae, Streptophyta, Magnoliopsida, Fabales, Fabaceae.